Lagenorhynchus albirostris (white-beaked dolphin) is the source of this 3614-nucleotide long non-coding RNA. RefSeq lists it as uncharacterized. The record is from RefSeq and is a predicted model, not a curated record. The transcript has 4 exons. Lineage: Eukaryota; Metazoa; Chordata; Mammalia; Artiodactyla; Delphinidae.
GCGGGGGGUGGGGGAGGUGCAGGAGUCGGAAAGGCCAAGGGUAGGAGGAGAUGGGCCAGACCUCGGGGCGGACACACAGGAGGCCUGGCUGAGGUCCUGGACCUGCCUCGUAAAUGCUGCUCUGUGCCUGAGGAUGGCCCAGGGGACCCGGAACCACGUCCCGACCCAUGUCCCAUGAGCUGACAGUCUCCAAAAUGCUACCAGGAAUUCACGGAUGCUAACGGGGUGGCCUGAGCAUGCAGGUGGGGGGCGGGCAGGCCACGCCGCCCCCGCGCUGGGGUACCUUCGAGCUCCUAACAGGGCCGUGCUUCUAAAAGUAGACUUUGGACAUACAGAAGCCCACUGCAAGACCAAAGAGACAGAGUGAGGCCGUGAGACACGAACAGCGGGCGUGGAGCACGGAGACGGAGACACAGGACCGACAGGGUGACCACGGACGCACGACGGAGCUGGGAGGCCUGCGGGGCCUCCGUCGGCAGCACCCAGGGCCGAGGAGCACGGCAGGAGAGAGACGGUUAGUGCCGGAAGCCACGUGGACAACCACCACGUGCAGCCUUGCUAGGCCCCAAGCUUAGAACCAGGGACCCCUGGGCUCUGCAGACUGCGGAAGUCGGAGGGAGACCCCGUCCUGGGGCAAAUGUACUGGGAGCAGGUGGGGGACGGGGCAAAGCCAGGCAGACGCCUUUGAGGAGGGACAGAGAACCAGGGCACCCUGAGCAGUAGAAGGGGAGGCUCAGGAGAGACGCGAGGGGCCGGGGCUGCCCAGGAAGGGCCAGGGCUUCCAUGUGCUGGUGGCCACACUGGCCCCGGGACACAGAGGCGCGCCCGGGGGCCCCGCCACUCAUUUCGUGGAUGGAGACACGGGCCCGUCAAGGUAAGCACUAGGCCUCAUGGCCCCAGGGACACGGAUGGGCUGGGGCUGGGGCUGGGGCUGGGGCUGGGGCACCCCUUCCCAAUAGCAAGUGACCUUGCAGGUGACACUCACCUUACCACUGAUGUCACUGACGGCCACGUGGACAAAGAUGGAGGCCUCUUCCAUCCCCUCCAGCUCCCUCGGUAUCCCCAGGCCCACCCGUGGCAGAAGGCAACUUGCAGGAGGAAGCUGAGCCCCACCCUGUCCUGGCGUCCUCUGCUGGCCUGUGGGGGACGCGCUACAGGGGGCACUGGCCCAGGGCUCUGCCCUCCCCCACCCCCACUGGCCCCCUGCCCACCUGGCAUCAUGCUGCUGAAGGCCAGCGUCCUUUGGCCUAUGAAGUCACGCCCAAUGGGGUCAUGGUCCCAGACGAGGAAGCGCACCAGCGCUAUCUCAGGCAUGUGCACCGUGAACACCAGGGUCUCCUCCCACAUGGGGUUGAAUCCUGGAGGCCACCAGGAGGAGGUGUCUGUCACCUUUGCCCCACCCCCACCUCUCAGACAGGCCAGUCCCAUCUGCACCACAGCUCUAGCCUGGAGGCCACACGCCCUUUCCCAGCACCUCCUCCUAGGCUGGCCACCGGCUGAAAGAAGCAACACCGGAAGGCCAGGCGGCUGUCACUGGGCGUCCAGCCGAGGGGGCAUCCUGGACAGUUACGUGGGUCACAGGCGGUGGCCCUCACCCUUCCCUUCCCGGUCAGACUGGUGUCAGCAGCACAGGAGCUGUGACGGGGCCUCCGGGCGCCCCCGGCCCUCCCGCGUCCUCACCGUUGUCGUCCACCACGCGCGUCUGCUCCUUGCUGCAGUCCACGGGGAGCCCAAUGACCUCCACCUCCACGAAGGGGUCGAUGAUCUGGCGCAGAGUGCAGGGUGGCACCGGGGCCCAGGCCAACGGCCCGGCCCUCCCCGGCCCCCCAGGCCCUCCCUCCUACCUCCCCUCGGUCCCCCAGCAUGGAGUCCCGCGGCUUGGGGAGCUGCUGUCCACUGAUGAUCCGAAGCACCAGCUGCUUCUUGAGCUGACCGGGCAAAGGGUCCUCGGAGUUGGGGUUGAAGACGCCUGAGGGGGGCCAGGAUAAACGCUGCACAGCGCAAGCCGAGAGGCCCGUGGGAGGACGGGUCGGGGUUACGACGGGAAGAAACCCACAGGUCGUUUUCGGCACAUCGGGGAGAAAACUGAGGCGACCGAGAAGGGGGGAAGCGCCGGGUGGACCUCACCCAGGGCGCCUCGCCCGGGGCCUCGCGGGGCAGCACGGGGAGGGCCGCAGAUGCCCGGCAGGGUGGCGGCGCUUCCCUGUGCCCCAGCCUGACCCGCCAGCUGGCCUCGCCGUGGCCGCCCCCUGCCACCCCCGUGUCCCCGUCCUGGGGCCACAGCCUCACCCCGGCACAUGCACUGGGGCUUGAGCACGUAGCCACAGCUGCCGUUGGCGCUGAACUUGGCCCGGUUCAGCUGGAGCAUCCGCCCCUCCGACUGGUAGUUCAGGGCGACUGUGGGGAAGGAUGUGAGGUGGCUGGCUCAGCGCCCAGCCCGUGUGUCCCGCCCCGCCGCUUCCCGUGAGCCCGCGUCCACUACGUGAGCAGGGGCCCUGGGGCUCACGUCGGGCACGACCAGGGCUGUGCGUCCCGGCAGGACUUCCCGCAGAGCCGGCACAGCGGCCCCGCGCACCUCAGGAGCCUGGACGCGCACCUGUGUCUUUCCCGCCUUGCCCUGGGGUCCUAAGGCCCCCGCCCCAGCGGCCCCCACCCCGGCGCCAUCCUGGUGAAGUUGGCUGGAUGCCGCGAAGGUUCUCCAGAGCCAAGGGCAAGCGGAGAGGCCGCGGAGAACCCAGCUGCACCCCCUCGCCAGCCCGGCCGCCCCAGGCCCCGGCGCCCACCCAUCUGGCAGCCGGUGUUCCAGAAGGGCUGCGGGUUGUAGUUGCUGGAAUCCACUCGGUAGGAGGAGGGGUAGAUGCGAGAGAGCUGGUGCUGGUUGAAGCGCAGGUACUGAGCCGGCUUCUGCUGCAGGAUCUGCUGGGCCUUGGUCUCGCUGAAGGAAGACACCUGCCAGCUGGACGCCACUGCCGGAACCAGGGCAGAGUCAGGACUGCUGGAGCGCCAGGCCCAGCCGGGCCGUCUGCAGAGGCCAGGACGCUGCGAGGGAAAGGCUUGCAGCCCUGGGGUCCCGGCGCCCACCCUGCAGCCGGGCCUGCCCCCUCUGCAGUGCCCUGCUUGGCCCGGGCCCUGGGUGACCUGCACUCCGGGCGUCGACCAUGGACCGGGGGAGGGCCAUUGAGGCACCUGCUCCAUCCAGCCCCGACCAGGGCCUCAGGAAUCCCAGAGGCCCUCGGUCCUGGAGGAGACCCCCCAGCUCUGGCUGGCGCACGUGGGGAGCCCGGCAGACCUUGCGCUUCGAGACGCUGCGCGAGGAGCCGGCCGUUCUGUCUGCUGGUUCCGGCCUCCUCGGCCUGGGAGGAGAGACAGGCAGCGGGGCUGGGUUGGGAUGGGCAGCUCCCCCCAGAGGCCCCGGGCCGCCUUCCUGGAAGGGAGGGAGCUGGGAGGGGCGUGGAGGAAGUGUGCGGGGAGCAGAGGCCUGAGAACAGCGCUCGCUCGUGCGCCCGUAUCCGCUCCCCACGAUGUGCCGUUCGACACUCCUCCAGUGCCUAGUCUUAAUUUCUUCCCAUGGAUGGUGACGGCCUAAUAAAUGCCGCUUGUGUGUCCGGAACAUU